GACGAACGCUGGCGGCGUGCUUAACACAUGCAAGUCGAACGAAGUGGCGAACGGGUGAGUAACGCGUAAUCAACUUGCCCUUCAGAGGGGGACAACAGUUGGAAACGACUGCUAAUACCGCAUACGGAAGGAGGGGAUGGCGUGUGAUUAGCUAGUUGGAGGGGUCACGGCCUACCAAGGCGAUGAUCAGUAGCCGGGUUGAGAGGGUGAACGGCCACAAUUGGACUGAGACACGGCCCAGACUCCUACGGGAGGCAGCAGUGGGGAAGCUUCCGCAAUGGACGAAAGUCUGACGGAGCAACACCGCGGGAGUGAUGACGGCCUUCGGGUUGUAAAGCUCUGUUAAUCGGGACGCGGUACCGGAAUAGAAAGCCACGGCUAACUACGUGCCAGCAGCCGCGGUAAUUC
Molecule: ribosomal RNA, 408 nt
Filed under: uncultured bacterium
Lineage: Bacteria
Description: partial 16S ribosomal RNA
Rfam family: Bacterial small subunit ribosomal RNA
Source: RNAcentral